AUUGAACGCUGGCGGCAUGCCUUACACAUGCAAGUCGAACGGCAGCACGGGAGCAAUCCUGGUGGCGAGUGGCGAACGGGUGAGUAAUAUAUCGGAACGUGCCCAGUCGUGGGGGAUAACGCAGCGAAAGCUGUGCUAAUACCGAAUACGAUCUACGGAUGAAAGCGGGGGAUCGCAAGACCUCGCGCGAUUGGAGCGGCCGAUAUCAGAUUAGCUAGUUGGUGGGGGAAAGGCCCACCAAGGCGACGAUCUGUAGCUGGUCUGAGAGGACGACCAGCCACACUGGAACUGAGACACGGCCCAGACUCCUACGGGAGGCAGCAGUGGGGAAUUUUGGACAAUGGGCGCAAGCCUGAUCCAGCAAUGCCGCGUGCAGGAUGAAGGCCUUCGGGUUGUAAACUGCUUUUGUACGGAACGAAACAGCCCUUUCUAAUACAGGGGGCUAAUGACGGUACCGUAAGAAUAAGCACCGGCUAACUACGUGCCAGCAGCCGCCGUAA
This 500-nucleotide ribosomal RNA is filed under the name uncultured bacterium. Its description in RNAcentral is "partial 16S ribosomal RNA". It matches the Rfam family "Bacterial small subunit ribosomal RNA", at positions 30 to 523 of the family's 1533-position model. The record is from RNAcentral.